GCCACGUACAGUGGCGGAGCUCCAAAAAGUCCGACUCGGAUCGGGGCGAGCUCAGCUACUGUCUGCCUGCCUGCCUGCCUGCCUGCCUGCCUGCUGCCAUGCUCUCUGAUAUGACAGACUCUGUCUCAAACACUUACAAAUUUUGAGUCAGCCAAGCUUUAACCCCUUCAUCCCUGGAUAUAAAUACUAGACAUGUAGACGGUUUUAAAUGCCUGCAUGUGCUGGUUACACAAACGUCAAUGUACCUGGGAAGAGGAGCCUUAUCUGAGAAAAGCCUCCAUCAGAUUGCCUGUAGGCAAGUCUGUGGGCAUUUUCUUGAUUAAUAAUUGAUGCACGUGGGCCCAGCUCCCUGGAGGUGGCACCACCCGGGCAGGUGAUCCUGGAAAAUAUAAGACAGCUAGCUGAGCAAGCCAGUAAGCAGCAUUCCUCCAUGGCCUCUACUUCAGUUUCUGUCUCCAAAUUCCUCCCUCAAGUUCCUGCCUGGCCUGAAUUCACGGUACACUGUGCUAGGGACAUGUAAGCAAAAUAAACUGCUUUCUUCCAAAAUUGCUUUUUGUCACCAUGUUUUCUUAUAGCAACGGAAACCCAGCUAGGGCACUGUGCCGUGACAGAUUUGUAUAUGUUAGGUUUGGCCCAAGUGGGUGGGCUUUCUCAUUACUGCUAUAACACAAUUCAAUUCCCUCUGUUCAGUGGGCUGUGAGCUGGUUAAACCUUGAAGACUGUCAAGGGAAAAAAAAAAAAACCUAGCUGAGUGCUGUGGCGCAUACCUUUGAUCCCAGCACUCAGGAGGCAGAUGUUUGUGAGUUCAAGGUCAGCCUGCUCUACUGAGCUACUUCCCUGUCAGCCAGAACUACAGAGAAACCUUGUCUCAAAAAGCCAAAACAAAACAAACAACAAAACAUGCCAAUUGUUGUUUGGCCAUUUUGUCUAAGCUCUGAGAUGAGAGUUUAUCAAACCUUCACUGGGAAGUUAACUUUACUGAAAUUAAUGUUUUCCUGUUAAGUUGGCUCAAUUCUUUGCUUCCCCACCCUUUCCAUUUCAAGACCAGACAUAAAAACCAUUCCUGAGAAGACUAGAGUACUUGUAUCUAGCAGAUGGAUGGAAUAAAAGUUAGGGAACCAGACUUCAGCCAUUUACAUAACCCUUCCUGUUAGGGUUGUCAUCUGGGUUUUGUUUUGUUUUUUACAUUUAGUGUGUGUGUGUAUGUGUGUGUGUGAGAAGACAGCUUUUAGAAGCUGGUUUUCUUAUCCAAGAAUCAAACUCUGAGCAGCAAGUGCCUUUACCCGAUUAGCCUACUUGCCUUCCUGGAUAUAUCUAUUUUGGAAUCUGAUAUAAUCUAUUUUUCCCAGAAAAAAUAUUCACUGAGCUUUAUAAGCAAUUACUAAAUAGAUUUGGAUGGUGUCUUAGUUACUAUUGCUGUGAUGAAACACCACAACCAAAAGCAGCUUGGGGAGGAAGGGUUUGGCUUACUCUUCCAUAUCAUGGUUCACCUUUGAAGGAGUCAGGGCAGGAACUCAAGCAGGGCAGGAACCUGGAGCCAGAAGCUG
Molecule: long non-coding RNA, 1547 nt
Organism: Mus musculus (house mouse)
Lineage: Eukaryota; Metazoa; Chordata; Mammalia; Rodentia; Muridae
Product: predicted gene, 41501
Exons: 3
Source: RefSeq, a predicted model, not a curated record